This 611-nucleotide long non-coding RNA is filed under the name Amborella trichopoda. RNAcentral describes it as "long non-coding RNA (ATRI_LNC001951)". Lineage: Eukaryota; Viridiplantae; Streptophyta; Magnoliopsida; Amborellales; Amborellaceae. The record is from RNAcentral.
CGAGAGUAAGCUAGAGACAUGAGAGAGACAUUUUGUUGGUAGGUAAAAACAAGAGUAUUUUCGAAUAACUAAGAGAUAUAUGAGAGAGAAGUAGGUAAAAACAAGAGUAUUUUCGAAUAACUAAGAGAUAUAUGAGAGAGAAAGAGAGACGUGAGAGAAAAAGAAAGAGAGACGUGAGAGAAAAAGAAAGAACGACGUGAGAGGCGUUUCUUGAUAGGUAAAAACAAAAUUAUUUUUGAAUAACUAAAACAAUAUUUAAUCACCAUGUCCCAUGCACAUCAUCUUUUUGAUAAGUUAAAACAAAAGUAUUUUUGAAUAUCUAAAACAAUAUUUAAUCACUAUGUCCCAUGCAGGACUCCACUCAUGUAGUGCUUAACUGGAACCGUUUCACCAUUGUCAAACCUUCGCAUUAUUAAUAUGACGCUUUAAAACUUUCUCACCAUUGUCAAACCUUUGCGUUAUUAGUAUGACGCUUUAAAACUUUUUCACCAUCGUCAGAUCUUCGCGUUAUUAGUACAAGGUUUUUAACCAACUGAGCUAAUAGUCCAGAUGUAGUAAAGUGUAAUUGGCGAGAUAUAGUAAAGUACAACAAACUACUAAAUUCAAUAGGC